This 390-nucleotide ribosomal RNA is filed under the name Keratinibaculum paraultunense. RNAcentral's name for it is "bacterial SSU rRNA". It matches the Rfam family "Bacterial small subunit ribosomal RNA", at positions 1 to 370 of the family's 1533-position model. Lineage: Bacteria; Bacillati; Bacillota; Tissierellia; Tissierellales; Tepidimicrobiaceae. The record is from RNAcentral.
UUUUUCAUGAGAGUUUGAUCCUGGCUCAGGACGAACGCUGGCGGCGUGCCUAACACAUGCAAGUCGAGCGAAGUACUUAUCAAGAAGCCUUCGGGCAGAUUGAUAAGCUACUUAGCGGCGGAUGGGUGAGUAACGCGUGAGGAACCUGCCUUCCACAAGGGGAUAGCCUCGGGAAACCGGGAUUAAUACCCUAUGACACUUAAAAUCCGCAUGGAUUUUAAGUUAAAGCGAUAAGCGGUGGAAGAUGGUCUCGCGUCCCAUUAGCUAGUUGGUGAGGUAACGGCUCACCAAGGCCACGAUGGGUAGCCGGCUUGAGAGAGUGACCGGCCACACUGGAACUGAGACACGGUCCAGACUCCUACGGGAGGCAGCAGUGGGGAAUAUUGCACA